RNAcentral lists this long non-coding RNA (2112 nucleotides) under Solanum tuberosum (potato). RNAcentral's name for it is "long non-coding RNA (STUB_LNC001301)". The record is from RNAcentral. Lineage: Eukaryota; Viridiplantae; Streptophyta; Magnoliopsida; Solanales; Solanaceae.
AGAGUUGUACGCCUGCUUGUAGCAGUAUGGGGAUACAAUGGGUUCAUAGCUAUUACAAUUAGUGGAAAUGGUCUUAGUGGCCUAACUAAAAGAGUUCCUCGUUUGUUUGCAUUCAACUUUUCCAAAACAAAUAUCGGCGGAACUUCCAAGCACAAAAAGGUAUACCUUGCUAGUGCAUCUGCCACCCGGUUUGCUUCCCUAAAAGUGUGGUGAACUUUUAAUAUAGUAUUUUUCUAUUUUUAAAUCUUUGUGGGGUUAUACUUGCUAAAGUUGGUAAUCCUAAUUCACUUAAACGUCAAAGAAAAUGAUCUCUUCACUAAAAAAAUAUCAAUAUUUUGUUUAUGUUAAGUUCAAUUUAUCAAAUAUACUUUACAUAAAUUUUGUUGGCUUGCAUAAAAUAUUAAACUAUUUUUUCAAACAUGAUAUUGGGCAGAAAUUUCAUGUUGAGUCAACCAAUAAGAAAAUUUUACCAAAUAAAAUAAAAAUAGGAAACUUUGUUCAACGACCAAUUUCGAGUUACAAAGUUUGCCGCUUCAAUUAUUCGGUUUCAAAGGAAUCUUUUGUUGAAUUUCAAGUUAAAGAUGAUAACUUUAGGGAUAAUGAACAUUUUAAACCAAAUUCUAGUGAUGAUUUUGAAGCUGAUGAUAUAGAUUUGGAUAAUUUACCUCUUAUGUUUGGUGAAAAUAAAUCUGGCUGCUGCCGCCGUCUGCUGCAGUUGCGGAUGUCUGCUGGUGCGGCGCGCGACCUGCUGCUGUUGCUGAGGCGGCGCCGGCGCUACCUGCUGCUGCUACUGAGGCGGCGUGGGGACGGGGAUGGGUGGCGUGAGAGAGAGGUGACUUAGGGUUUUCGGAUUUCAAGAUUCAAACGAAUCUAUAUUUGAUCGUAAGUUUUUCAUAGAUUCUUUAAAUAUUUUGAAUUAUUAAUUAUUGUGAAUUAUAGUACGUAGUUUACAAAUAUAUAUAAAUUUCAUUUCAAGAAAUUUGAAAAUUUCAUGCGCAAACUCCCGGUUAUACUUAAAUUGUUUGACUCUCGAAAAACGAAAAGUGUCACAUAAUUGGGAUAGAGAAGUAUUUAUAUUUGAAAACUGACCUCUUGAGGUCGAUUUUAUUAAUUAAAAUUACAUAUAUAUAAAUAUCCUCCUAAUUAUAUAAAUUUAAUUUUAUCGAACAACGAAAAUUUAUUUACUAUAUAAAUCUCCUUGAAUUGAUCAUCGGUAUUCUUUAAUUGAUAAUGUAUUUCAUAUUUGAACCAUUAAUUUAUAAGACUUGAUUUGUUAAACUACUCGACGAGUAUAUAAUCAACCCGAUGAAUUAUCCUUUAUCUUUCAUUGCCUGGGAUAUGAUUAUAGGAGGUGUAGAACUCGAUAGCUUGAUUUAGCGUUUCUUUAAUGCAUAUGUUCGUUUUAACUACAGAUUCAACUAUUCAACUCAUUCGUCCAAACCUAUUGCAUUUGCAGUCGUAUAAACCAACUCACUGCCCUUAUAAUGGAAAUAAACACCAAGACUAGAUAGAUUGCCGAGAGAUCACUAGCACACCAACGAUCACUAAUACUCCCUCCGUCCCAUUUUAUAUGAAGUAGUUUGACUCGGCACGAAGUUUAAAAAAAAAAUGACGACUUUCAAAACUUGUGAUCCAAAAUAAAUGAUAGAAAUUUGUGUGGCUGUAAAUCAUUUCAUUAAGAGUAAAAUAAACACUUCAUAGUUAAAUUGUUACUUAAUAUGAAAAUGUGUCAUUCUUUUUUAGAGGAAAGUAAGUCAUAUAAAAUGGGACAUAGGGAGUACUAAAUUUUGAAUGACACAUCAAACAAGAAGAGGGAUUAAAAUCAAAGUCAUUUAAUUUCUAGCAUCGGCCUCAAAAAAGUUCCAAAUGUAAAAUCAAGGUUUGUCAACUAGAUGACUAAUAGCAAAAUCCAUUACUAGACCAAAAAAAACUUCCUAAAGUAAGCUCAAGGGAUGCGUAGAGAACAAGAUUGUUUUCUUCUAAUCAAAUAGACUGAAGCCCAUAUCCUCAUCUUCUGAUGCCUCUUUCUCCUCCUUCUUUUCUUCCUUCUUCUCCUCAGCAGGGGCUGCAGCAGCUCCACCGGCAGGGGCAGCAACUGCAACAGCACCACCA